UACCUGCAGCUCAAGUGGUGGCCGCUAUUAUUGGGCCUAAAACGUUCGUAGCCGGUUUGGUAAAUGCCUGGGUAAAUCGUGUAGCUUAACUAUACGAAUUCCGGGUAGACUGCUAAACUUGAGACCGGGAGAAGCUAGAGGUACUCCUGGGGUAGAGGUGAAAUUCUGUAAUCCUGGGGGGACCACCAGUGGCGAAGGCGUCUAGCUAGAACGGGUUUGACGGUGAGGAACGAAGCCCUGGGGCGCAAACCGGAUUAGAUACCCGGGUAGUCCAGGGUGUAAACGCUGCUUGCUUGAUGUUAGUUGGGCUCCGAGCCCAAUUAGUGUCGGAGAGAAGUUGUUAAGCAAGCUGCCUGGGAAGUACGGCCGCAAGACUGAAACUUAAAGGAAUUGGCGGGGAGCACAGCAACGGGUGGAGCGUGCGGUUU
This 428-nucleotide ribosomal RNA is filed under the name uncultured archaeon. Its description in RNAcentral is "bacterial SSU rRNA". It matches the Rfam family "Archaeal small subunit ribosomal RNA", at positions 474 to 903 of the family's 1478-position model. The record is from RNAcentral.